UUUUGAUAGGUGCAAUUUUCGGCCCAAACUUCCCUUAGCCCACAAUUAAUUCAUAUUCCUAUACAAAUACCUAAUACAAGAAAAACAAAGGAGGAGGAACCUUAGAGCUCGAGGAAAGCUGCGCCUCAGCUUCUUUCUCUAAGAACAAAAAUGCAGCAGCUGUUGCCUUUCUUCUUCCGCCAAACACACUCCAUCACAACCAAAACUUCAACUCCAAAAGCCAUGAAAUUCCAGCCAAAAAUUCCAGGAAAGUAUGUUGAAAAUCAGUCCAAACAAGCAACAAAAACGCAGCUGAAAUUCCCAUAAAAACAGCUCCAAGGAGUGACCAAAAACACCUGCUAAAAACCUCCCAAAAAUCAGGUCACAUCUAGCUUUAAAACUCCCUGAAAUAAGCUGAAAUUCCAGCUCAAAAUUAGCUGAAGAACAGCCCUUCGAAAUCAGCAAAUCAGCUACGAAAAUGACUCCAAAACACAACCAUGAAACUCCUCAAAAUCCCACUUGAAACCAACGUGAAAAUCAGCCAACAGGCGGCUGAAAAUCAGCGGCAAAAUUGCUGAAAAAACCAGUCCAGCAACGUCGGGAAAGCACUUACAAAUUUGGUCUGUCGAGGACUUCCGUUCGCGGUUUCCGGAUGAGGUCCCAAAUUGAUUCGUGUUCCAAUUUUAUGGCUCUACACCAGCUACUUUGAGAUUUUGGAUGGUGACGUUGCAGUGUAUGGCGGAAGUUGGCAUUGAAGACGUACCUGUAUUCCGGUUGUAGCUGCCUCUUAUUCUUGGUAGCUUUAAAUUUAUUAAUUUGUUCAUGUACAUUUCGAACAGAUGAUGUAUUUACUUCGUACCGGCUUUCUAAACUCUAAGUCUUAGAAGCUCAUGAUUUGUACUUCUUGUCCUUAUAAAGUUCUAUAAAGUCUAGUUAUUUCAUCA
Long non-coding RNA from Nicotiana attenuata, 923 nucleotides. RefSeq lists it as uncharacterized. The record is from RefSeq and is a predicted model, not a curated record. The transcript is spliced from 2 exons. Lineage: Eukaryota; Viridiplantae; Streptophyta; Magnoliopsida; Solanales; Solanaceae.